Molecule: long non-coding RNA, 1163 nt
Organism: Brienomyrus brachyistius
Lineage: Eukaryota; Metazoa; Chordata; Actinopteri; Osteoglossiformes; Mormyridae
Exons: 2
Source: RefSeq, a predicted model, not a curated record
UGGUUAUGCAACAGGCAGGAGAAGCAGUCAUCAGUGGCCAGUACCAGCUGCAGUGCAUGUGCCGUUAUACCUGCCCACUUCACUGCAGCUCGCUAUGGCAGACCUCCAGGCCUAGAGGUGGGGGGCCAGGGGGAGUCUAGUUUAUUCAGAGCCCAAAUUCAGGCUUUGGACUUUGUCCCCCUGGGGCAGUGGAAGAGCACUCUGCAGGAACGAAGACGAGAGUGAGAGAGACAGCAACAGACGGACGGACAGAGUGAGAAGCGAGCAGGAGAUGGAAAGUGAGAGACGGACAGACUGCGAGAAGGAGACGGAAAGGGGAGAGAGAGUGAAAUCCCAUGCAAAACACGGCAGCAGGUCCUUGACAUCCUGCUCCUCCAUGGCCCCGGGCCUGCCUACAGAGGGCAGAGAGGCCUCUCUGAUGUGAACGGCGUGUGGAUUUUCCCAUAGACCGGCCAGAGGCCACGAGCUGGGCCUCUGCUCCCUGUCCUUUCUCAGUGAAGUGACGAGGACGGGCAGGGAAAUUAGUGGAUUGCUGUUCCUUGGUCGCCAGGGUGGUGUGACAAGGCUCCGUCCCCCCGCCAAACUAAGCUGCCCCCCUCCCGCCUAAGUGGAAGACACCUCAGUGACGCUGAUUAGGGGGGUGAGACGCAUUUAUUACAGCCAGUUCAUGAUGCCAGGGGACAGUAAUGUGCCAGGAACGCACUGCUGCUCCAUCUGACACUGAAAACAGGCGUCUGAUAAACACACACGCUGCUGCUCGGAAGGCUGCAGUGCACAGGCCAAACAUGGCAGACCUUGACCUCAAACAUGUUCUCUGGUGAGAAAGCAGAUCCCUCAGCAAGGCCAUGGCGGAUUCAACAAGCCUGCAUUCCUAAAAGCAGGGACAGGUACAGGGCGAACUACACAUGCUCUGGAUCAUCCCAGACUUUCCACUUCAAAACCAACUCAAUCACUAUAGAUUCAUUUAAACCACACAUUUCUUUACAUUUUAUCCCAACUCAGUAAAACUAGGAACCUAAUCAGCAACAUUUUAACACAGAGGUAACAAAAACAGAAGCGAUAUAAUUUCAUACCUAAGUAGGAAGCUGUUACGGGUACACAAACACAGUUUUUUUUUUAAACUUUAUUUGAUUUCGCACCUUAAUAAAGGGCAUGUUUCAGAA